UUCCUUUCUUCCUACUUCCAGUUGGCUACGCCAGUUUGAUUGCUUUGGCUUGGCUUCCCCAAUUUCACAUCUGUUAGUAGGUUUCUCCUUUAAUUUGUUGGCUUUCUAGGUUUCCGCUCUAAAUGAAGCAGUUCCUGGAAGUGCCAAGUCGGUCUUCAAAGCCUGGGAGCACCGCCUGAAUCUCUCAGCGGUAAGUAAGCUCACUUCAAUUCUUGUUUCU
This 220-nucleotide long non-coding RNA is filed under the name Linum usitatissimum (flax). RNAcentral's name for it is "long non-coding RNA (LUSI_LNC000228)". Lineage: Eukaryota; Viridiplantae; Streptophyta; Magnoliopsida; Malpighiales; Linaceae. The record is from RNAcentral.